UACAGAGGGUGCGAGCGUUGUUCGGAAUUAUUGGGCGUAAAGGGCGCGUAGGCGGCGCGGUAUGUCACAUGUGAAAUCUCCUGGCUCAACUGGGAGCUUGCAGGCGAAACUGCCGUGCUGGAGUGUGGGAGAGGUGCGUGGAAUUCCUGGUGUAGCGGUGAAAUGCGUAGAUAUCAGGAGGAACACCUGUGGCGAAAGCGGCGCACUGGACCACAACUGACGCUGAGGCGCGAAAGCUAGGGGAGCAAACAGG
Molecule: ribosomal RNA, 253 nt
Filed under: uncultured bacterium
Lineage: Bacteria
Description: partial 16S ribosomal RNA
Rfam family: Bacterial small subunit ribosomal RNA
Source: RNAcentral